GGCCUUGUAGCUUAAUUUGGAUAGAGCCAUCGGUUUCGGCCCGGUAGAUAGGGGUUCAAAUCCCCUCGAGGCCG
RNAcentral lists this transfer RNA (74 nucleotides) under Candidatus Woesearchaeota archaeon. Its description in RNAcentral is "tRNA-Arg". It matches the Rfam family "tRNA". From Rfam's summary of the family: Transfer RNA (tRNA) molecules are approximately 80 nucleotides in length. The record is from RNAcentral. Lineage: Archaea; Nanobdellati; Candidatus Woesearchaeota.